Ochotona curzoniae (black-lipped pika) is the source of this 248-nucleotide long non-coding RNA. RefSeq lists it as uncharacterized. NCBI's taxonomy places the organism in Eukaryota, Metazoa, Chordata, Mammalia, Lagomorpha, Ochotonidae. The transcript has 2 exons. The record is from RefSeq and is a predicted model, not a curated record.
AUAACUGCCAGUUUCCCUAUGGAGAGGGCAGGAGCUGUGUGUAUGUUUUGGAGAGUAGAGAUUGAUGCUCCAGGGGUGCUCCAUGUCUCCAAGAUGGAUGAGCUUCAUAGGAAGAGGAGACAGAGCAGGCUUUGACAUGUGAUAUUCCGCAUCACCUCUGGUCUCUACCAGCAGGAGAACCACCACUAGAUGAGGCUCCUAGACUUCACACCUCCAGGGCCCUGAACCAAAAUCAACUUCUUUACAAA